Molecule: ribosomal RNA, 450 nt
Filed under: uncultured bacterium
Lineage: Bacteria
Description: bacterial SSU rRNA
Rfam family: Bacterial small subunit ribosomal RNA
Source: RNAcentral
GACCAGACUCCUACGGGAGGUAGCAGUGGGGCCUCUUGGACAAUGGGGGGCACCCUGAUCCCGCGACGCCGCGUGCGUGAAGAAGUCUUUCGGUAUGUAACGCUCUCUCAGCAGGGACGACAGAAAUGCCGGUCCCUGACUAAGCAGCCCCGGCUAACUACGUGCCAGCAGCCGCGGUAAUACGUAGGGGGCAAGCGUUAUCCGGAUUUACUGGGUGUAAAGGGAGCGUAGACGGCAGUGCAAGGCUGAAGUGAAAGGCGGGGGCCCAACCCCCGGACUGCUUUGGAAACUGUGCUGCUGGAGUGCAGGAGAGGCAAGUGGAAUUCCUAGUGUAGCGGUGAAAUGCGUAGAUAUUAGGAGGAACACCAGUGGCGAAGGCGGCUUGCUGGACGGUAACUGACGUUGAGUCUCGAAAGCGUGGGGAGCAAACAGGAUUAGAUACCCUCGUAU